This 262-nucleotide ribosomal RNA is filed under the name uncultured bacterium. RNAcentral's name for it is "partial 16S ribosomal RNA". It matches the Rfam family "Bacterial small subunit ribosomal RNA", at positions 15 to 272 of the family's 1533-position model. The record is from RNAcentral.
GAUCCUGGCUCAGGAUGAACGCUAGCUACAGGCUUAACACAUGCAAGUCGAGGGGCAGCAUGACCUAGCAAUAGGUUGAUGGCGACCGGCGCACGGGUGAGUAACACGUAUCCAACCUACCGGUUAUUCCGGGAUAGCCUUUCGAAAGAAAGAUUAAUACCGGAUAGUAUAACGAGAAGGCAUCUUCUUGUUAUUAAAGAAUUUCGAUAACCGAUGGGUAUGCGUUCCAUUAGUUUGUUGGCGGGGUAACGGCCCGACCAAG